RNAcentral lists this transfer RNA (106 nucleotides) under Caudoviricetes sp. RNAcentral describes it as "tRNA-OTHER". It matches the Rfam family "tRNA". Rfam says of the family: Transfer RNA (tRNA) molecules are approximately 80 nucleotides in length. The record is from RNAcentral. Lineage: Duplodnaviria; Heunggongvirae; Uroviricota; Caudoviricetes.
CGGAUAGUGACCGAGAGGAAAGGUUGUGGCAAAACUCAGCAACAAGGGAUGGUGCUCGCUGAAAUGCGAGGGACUGAGUUCGCGGGUUCGAAUCCCGUCUAUCCGA